UACGUAGGUGGCAAGCGUUGUCCGGAAUUAUUGGGCGUAAAGCGCGCGCAGGCGGCCUCUUAAGUCUGAUGUGAAAGCCCCCGGCUCAACCGGGGAGGGCCAUUGGAAACUGGGAGGCUUGAGUAUAGGAGAGAAGAGUGGAAUUCCACGUGUAGCGGUGAAAUGCGUAGAGAGUGUGGAGGAACACCAGUGGCGAAGGCGACUCUUUGGCCUAUAAACUGACGCUGAGGCGCGAAAGCGUGGGGAGCAAACAGG
This 255-nucleotide ribosomal RNA is filed under the name uncultured bacterium. RNAcentral's name for it is "partial 16S ribosomal RNA". It matches the Rfam family "Bacterial small subunit ribosomal RNA", at positions 524 to 776 of the family's 1533-position model. The record is from RNAcentral.